Ribosomal RNA from Ochotona princeps (American pika), 99 nucleotides. The record is from Ensembl. NCBI's taxonomy places the organism in Eukaryota, Metazoa, Chordata, Mammalia, Lagomorpha, Ochotonidae.
GUCUACAGCCAUACCACCCUGAAUGCACUAGAUCUUGUCUGAUCUCAGAAGCUAAGCAGGAUCCAGCCUGGUUAAUACUUGAAUGGGAGAUAGUAAUUA